RNAcentral lists this ribosomal RNA (721 nucleotides) under uncultured Fusobacterium sp. Its description in RNAcentral is "bacterial SSU rRNA". It matches the Rfam family "Bacterial small subunit ribosomal RNA", at positions 28 to 776 of the family's 1533-position model. The record is from RNAcentral. Lineage: Bacteria; Fusobacteriati; Fusobacteriota; Fusobacteriia; Fusobacteriales; Fusobacteriaceae.
GAUGAACGCUGACAGAAUGCUUAACACAUGCAAGUCUACUUGAACUUCGGUUUGGGUGGCGGACGGGUGAGUAACGCGUAAAGAACUUGCCUCACAGAUAGGGACAACAUUUGGAAACGAAUGCUAAUACCUGAUAUUAUGAUUUUAGGGCAUCCUAGAAUUAUGAAAGCUAUAUGCACUGUGAGAGAGCUUUGCGUCCCAUUAGCUAGUUGGAGAGGUAACGGCUCACCAAGGCGAUGAUGGGUAGCCGGCCUGAGAGGGUAAUCGGCCACAAGGGGACUGAGACACGGCCCUUACUCCUACGGGAGGCAGCAGUGGGGAAUAUUGGACAAUGGACCGAGAGUCUGAUCCAGCAAUUCUGUGUGCACGAUGAAGUUUUUCGGAAUGUAAAGUGCUUUCAGUUGGGAAGAAAAAAAUGACGGUACCAACAGAAGAAGUGACGGCUAAAUACGUGCCAGCAGCCGCGGUAAUACGUAUGUCACAAGCGUUAUCCGGAUUUAUUGGGCGUAAAGCGCGUCUAGGUGGUUAUGUAAGUCUGAUGUGAAAAUGCAGGGCUCAACUCUGUAUUGCGUUGGAAACUGUGUAACUAGAGUACUGGAGAGGGUAAGCGGAACUACAAGUGUAGAGGUGAAAUUUGUAGAUAUUUGUAGGAAUGCCGAUGGGAACCAGCUUACUGGACGGAAACUGACGCUUAAGCGCGAAAGCGUGGGUAGCAAACAGG